Molecule: transfer RNA, 83 nt
Filed under: Schistocephalus solidus
Lineage: Eukaryota; Metazoa; Platyhelminthes; Cestoda; Diphyllobothriidea; Diphyllobothriidae
Rfam family: tRNA
About the family: Transfer RNA (tRNA) molecules are approximately 80 nucleotides in length. Their secondary structure includes four short double-helical elements and three loops (D, anti-codon, and T loops).
Source: Rfam by way of RNAcentral
GACCUCGUAGUUCAGUUGGUUAGAGCGUUGGUUGUACUAAAGCCUUCCCCUUGCUGGCGUGAGUUCAAAUCCCACCGAGGCCA